UCCUUGAUCGUCUAGUGGUUAGGAUACGAGCUUGUCACGCUCGUGGCCAGGGUUCGAUUCCCUGUCAAGGAG
Molecule: non-coding RNA, 72 nt
Organism: Delitschia confertaspora ATCC 74209
Lineage: Eukaryota; Fungi; Ascomycota; Dothideomycetes; Pleosporales; Delitschiaceae
Source: the annotation of a GenBank genome assembly